This is a long non-coding RNA of Salvelinus fontinalis (brook trout), 2454 nucleotides long. RefSeq lists it as uncharacterized. The transcript has 3 exons. Lineage: Eukaryota; Metazoa; Chordata; Actinopteri; Salmoniformes; Salmonidae. The record is from RefSeq and is a predicted model, not a curated record.
AGUACAUUCAUCUACAGAUAGCUAGGUGGGACAACCACAUAUCACAGUCAUAGUCAGUACAUUCAUCUACAGAUAGCUAGGUGGGACAACCACAUAUCACAGUCAGUACAUUCAUCUCCAGAUAGCUAGGUGGGACAACCACAUAUCACAGUCAUAGUCAGUACAUUCAUCUACAGAUAACUAGGUGGGACAACCACAUAUCACAGUCAUAGUCAGUACAUUCAUCUACAGAUAGCUAGGUGGGACAACCACAUAUCACAGUCAGUACAUUCAUCUACAGAUAGCUAGGUGGGACAACCACAUAUCACAGUCAUAGUCAGUACAUUCAUCUACAGAUAGCUAGGUGGGACAACCACAUAUCACAGUCAUAGUCAGUACAUUCAUCUACAGAUAGCUAGGUGGGACAACCACAUAUCACAGUCAGUACAUUCAUCUACAGAUAGCUAGGUGAGACAACCACAUAUCACAGUCAGUACAUUCAUCUACAGAUAGCUAGGUGGGACAACCACAUAUCACAGUCAUAGUCAGUACAUUCAUCUACAGAUAGCUAGGUGAGACAACCACAUAUCACAGUCAGUACAUUCAUCUACAGAUAGCUAGGUGGGACAACCACAUAUCACAGUCAGUACAUUCAUCUACAGAUAGCUAGGUGAGACAACCACAUAUCAUAGUCAGUACAUUCAUCUACAGAUAGCUGGGUGGGACAACCACAUAUCACAGUCAUAGUCAGUACAUUCAUCUCCAGAUAGCUAGGUGAGACAACCACAUAUCACAGUCAGUACAUUCAUCUACAGAUAGCUAGGUGGGACAACCACAUAUCACAGUCAUAGUCAGUACAUUCAUCUACAGAUAGCUAGGUGGGACAACCACAUAUCACAGUCAUAGUCAGUACAUUCAUCUUCAGAUAGCUAGGUGGGACAACCACAUAUCACAGUCAGUACAUUCAUCUACAGAUAGCUAGGUGAGACAACCACAUAUCACAGUCAUAGUCAGUACAUUCAUCUUCAGAUAGCUAGGUGGGACAACCACGUAUCACAGUCAUAGUCAGUACAUUCAUCUACAGAUAGCUAGGUGGGACAACCACAUAUCACAGUCAGUACAUUCAUCUACAGAUAGCUAGGUGGGACAACCACAUAUCACAGUCAUAGUCAGUACAUUCAUCUACAGAUAGCUAGGUGAGACAACCACAUAUCACAGUCAUAGUCAGUACAUUCAUCUACAGAUAGCUAGGUGAGACAACCACAUAUCACAGUCAUAGUCAGUACAUUCAUCUACAGAUAGCUAGGUGAGACAACCACAUAUCACAGUCAUAGUCAGUACAUUCAUCUACAGAUAGCUAGGUGGGACAACCACAUAUCACAGUCAGUACAUUCAUCUACAGAUAGCUAGGUGAGACAACCACAUAUCACAGUCAGUACAUUCAUCUUCAGAUAGCUAGGUGGGACAACCACAUAUCACAGUCAGUACAUUCAUCUUCAGAUAGCUAGGUGGGACAACCACAUAUCACAGUCAUAGUCAGUACAUUAAUCUACAGAUAGCUAGGUGAGACAACCACAUAUCAUAGUCAGUACAUUCAUCUACAGAUAGCUAGGUGAGACAACCACAUAUCACAGUCAUAGUCAGUACAUUCAUCUUCAGAUAGCUAGGUGGGACAACCACAUAUCACAGUCAGUACAUUCAUCUACAGAUAGCUAGGUGGGACAACCACAUAUCACAGUCAUAGUCAGUACAUUCAUCUACAGAUAGCUAGGUGGGACAACCACAUAUCACAGUCAGUACAUUCAUCUACAGAUAGCUAGGUGGGACAACCACAUAUCACAGUCACAGUCAGUACAUUCAUCUACAGAUAGCUAGGUGGGACAACCACAUAUCACAGUCAUAGUCAGUACAUUCAUCUUCAGAUAGCUAGGUGGGACAACCACAUAUCACAGUCAGUACAUUCAUCUACAGAUAGCUAGGAGAGACAACCACAUAUCACAGUCAUAGUCAGUACAUUCAUCUACAGAUAGCUAGGUGAGACAACCACAUAUCACAGUCAUAGUCAGUACAUUCAUCUACAGAUAGCUAGGUGAGACAACCACAUAUCACAGUCAUAGUCAGUACAUUCAUCUACAGAUAGCUAGGUGAGACAACCACAUAUCACAGUCAGUACAUUCAUCUACAGAUAGCUAGGUGGGACAACCACAUAUCACAGUCAUAGUCAGUACAUUCAUCUACAGAUAGCUAGGUGGGACAACCACAUAUCACAGUCAUAGUCAGUACAUUCAUCUACAGAUAGCUAGGUGAGACAACCACAUAUCACAGUCAGUACAUUCAUCUACAGAUAGCUAGGUGAGACAACCACAUAUCACAGUCAGUACAUUCAUCUACAGAUAGCUAGGUGGGACAACCACAUAUCACAGUCAUAGUCAGUACAUUAAUCUACAGAUAGCUAGGUGGGACAACCACAUCUCA